UCCGGUUUAUCACCGGCAGUCACCUUAGAGUGCCCAACUGAAUGCUGGCAACUAAGAUCAAGGGUUGCGCUCGUUGCGGGACUUAACCCAACAUCUCACGACACGAGCUGACGACAACCAUGCACCACCUGUCACCGCCGUCCCCGAAGGGAAGGCCCUAUCUCUAGGGCGGUCGGCGGGAUGUCAAGACCUGGUAAGGUUCUUCGCGUUGCUUCGAAUUAAACCACAUGCUCCACCGCUUGUGCGGGCCCCCGUCAAUUCCUUUGAGUUUCAGUCUUGCGACCGUACUCCCCAGGCGGAGUGCUUAAUGCGUUAGCUGCAGCACUAAGGGGCGGAAACCCCCUAACACUUAGCACUCAUCGUUUACGGCGUGGACUAC
Molecule: unclassified non-coding RNA, 379 nt
Filed under: uncultured Caryophanaceae bacterium
Lineage: Bacteria; Bacillati; Bacillota; Bacilli; Caryophanales; Caryophanaceae
Description: uncultured Planococcaceae bacterium contains 16S-23S intergenic spacer region
Source: RNAcentral